AUAUAAGAUGAUGAAAUUAAUAUGAUUCCACCAAGUAAAUCAGUUUAGGCAUAUGUUUAAAGUCAAGAGCAAAUGAGCAUUAACUUCCUCUAUAAGGAAAAAAAGCAAAGAUUGACAACUUUUAUAAAUCAAUUUAACAUGUUUUAUCUCUUCGCUUUCCAAGUGAUGAUAUAGCCAAAAAUUCCAUGAGAAACAAACUGAAAAAAAAAAAAAGUUAUUGAGCAGAUUUUUGUCUAUGCUGUGAUUUAUGGAUUAAAGACUACAAUUUGCUGAAUCAUACUCUAUUUUUAGCAUAAAGACAUGUUUGAUAUUGGCCAUAUAUUCUUGUCUUGAACAAUUUUUUUCCUUUUUUUUUUUUUUUUUGGCUAUACCCAUGGCAUGUGGAAGUUCCAGGGCCAGGGAUAACAAUUUUGUUUUUAAUUAUUUGCCUACAUUCAAAUUUUGAGAAAAGUCCCAUAUAAAUUGACAAGUUUUUCUUUCUUCACUUAAAUUAUUGGAGUAACUGGUAGAACUGGGCCUUGUCUCUGUAUGUUAGUCAACACAUUACCAUGGUUCUCAAUAAUCUCUGUUUUUUCCCCUAUACUUUUGCUAAGUAUUUGUUGAAUUGUUAUAUGUGAUAUUUACUAAAAUUGGUUAUAUUGCAGUUAUAUUGCAUUUUAUAUUUGUAAUAAGAAAUUGAAAUAUUUAUUUUCCCAUUUUCUCUCACAAAUAUAGAAAUGAAAUAGAUAUAUGUUCACACACACACACACAAAUGAGAGAACAUGUAUUUCUUUGUGUCACUCCUACCUGUUUAAUAUGGGAAACUUGUCUGUCUGUGCAAGAGGAAUUUUCUGCCUUGCUGUAGUCAUGAUAUAUGUAUGAAUACUGUAAGGACUGGUAUAACAGCUCUUUCUUAGGGCAAUACACAGGAAAAAGAUGACAACCCCUACCCUAUGGAUCUUAUAACAACUAAGAAAAAAUAUGAUUUUAUAUAUAUAAUCAUGUAUUAAAUUGCAUUGGAAGUACUUAUAAAUAUGUGGGGAAAUGCGAAAAGAAAGUCAAAAUUAGCUAAGUAAUUGUGAAGAACAGAUGUUUUGCUGUCUUGAGGUAGUUUUUAAUUUCAAUGUCAUAGACAAAAUAUUGUAAAUGUUUUCAAGGUGUCUUUUUUAUACAGGCUCUUGAAGAAAAUCACUCACUGACAACAAAGAAGAAUAGUACUGGUAAUGAUAAUUUUAUUACACUGGCACCUUAUGUGGAAGAAGUACAAAUUAGUGCAAAUUAAAAAAAAACAGAUGCUAGUAAAAUAUGCCUUCAGUUAAAAGGCUGCAUGUAUUUUUCAACAUAAUAUUUUUUAAUUAUCCCUCUCUCUGAGGAAAAUAAAUUACUAAUUUUAUCAUCUGAACAUCUUUUGAUUGACAAUAAGAUUCUGUCAUUAUGUUAUAAAUAAUUAUCAAAGAUAUAACAAAAAUUUCAAGUAAAUCAAGACAUUAUUGUGACAACUCAGUUAUUUGUAUAAUUUUUACUAAAUAUUUCUGAAUCUAUAGGAUUAAACAAGAAAGUCUGAUGAAAGAGAAAAUUUAUCAUUUUGGAAAAAGCACUUAAGUAUGCAGCCAUCAUAUAGCAUAUAAUAUCUAUUAGAAUUAUAUAGAGUCAUUAAUCAAAUGUAUGCUAGGUAAGGACAAGAAUUUUUCAUUUUGUAACAAUAAAGCUAUAAUCUAAGAGUAAUGAUACAAAUCUAUUCCUCCUAUGUGACUUAUUUUACAUUCUGCCUGAUUGUCCUGCACUGAAGAAAUGUGACCAGGAUUUCAUUCUUCUAAGUCAAGGCCAAGUAAACACCACUAUGAUGCUCUGGGAUGGGGUGGGGGGGUGAAAAUAAAAGACGAGGAAUUCAAAAAAAUAAAUAAAUAAAAAACAAGUUUUUUUUUAAAGAGAAGUAUCCUAAUUAUGAUUCAGCUUUUAACAGUGUUUGGUUUAUACCAAAAAACAAUACAAAAAAAUAACUUCAAAAAUGUCUUUUAAAGUCUAUUCCCCCAAAAGGCCAUCAGUUCUAAAACUCAGUACUUUAUGUUAUUGAAAACACUUUUAAAAGAAGUAAUUACAGCAAUAACUGUGUUUCUCUGAAUCAACUUCAUGGCAAAUGAUGCAUGAGUCAAUACAAGAUGAAACCUGUACUCCAUUUAUCUCUUUGCAUGAUCCACAAUAAAUGCAAAUGCAUAAUUAUGUUAUCUAAGCCUGUCAAAAGAGUAGAAUAACUAGAGCUUGUUUCCUUAGAGAAAGAUGAAGGAAAAUGGAAUACUUACAGCUUGGUAUGGUAAGGUGCUGAUCAUGAGCUGGAAUUUGAAAUAGGAGAGAUGGUUGUGGGGGAAAAAGUUUCUUUGGAGAGGGCCGAUAGGCUUAUACAUAAAGAAUAUAUUCAGGGAUUCUUAGGUUUGCAGUUUUUCUGUUGAGAUUUGUAGUUGGCUUCUUUUUAAAGUAUUAUAUUGGAGACAUUGUUACCUUGUCUGUGUUUAGGGGGCAGGAGAGUGGCUAAAAAAACGUAUAUUACCUGUUGGAAAUGAGUCAUAAAAACUUACUGAAAGAAAUUGAAUCUAUGCUGACACUUGAAGGAAGAGAUUAAAGUUAUUCAGGUGAAAUUAUGGGUGUAAGGAUUCAGCAAAAGUGCAAGAAAUGUGGUUCAUAAAUGACCUAUAGUAUACUUAGUCAUCAAGGCUGAAAAUGGGAUUUUCAUCCCUAACUACUACAAAACAUUUUUAAAUCUCAAAAUAUGGGCAUCUUGUUUUGGCUUUUAUUGUUGGAACACAAGUUCUGGAGUUUAAAUUAGUUCAAUAUCGAGCAUAUUGCCUGAAACAGAGUGGGUGACUAAUAAAUAUUAAUUAAAUAUUCUAGAAAAAUUAUGAAUGGAUGUCAAGGGCUGCUCAAUUGUUGUGUAUAUUCAUAUCAUUUUCUGCAUUGUCUGAUUAAGAAAUUUGUAAUUAUAUUUACUGUGUCUAGUCUCAUUUCUCUCUCCUGAAUUAUAAUUGAGACUAUAUUAUUGUUCUAUUUAUAAUCUAUUAAUGAUUAAGAUUCAGCUUCUUCAAAAUAUACUAGGACAAUGUAACUUUGAAUAGCUAUUUUGAAAAGCAGUUUGGCUUCAAAGAGUGAAAACUUUGUUUACAGUAAUUCCAUCCCUUGAAAUCUGUGCUGAGAAUGCCAUUUUGGAAAAAC
Molecule: long non-coding RNA, 3183 nt
Filed under: Sus scrofa (pig)
Lineage: Eukaryota; Metazoa; Chordata; Mammalia; Artiodactyla; Suidae
Description: lncRNA (ENSSSCG00000052757.1)
Source: RNAcentral